Ictidomys tridecemlineatus (thirteen-lined ground squirrel) is the source of this 72-nucleotide non-coding RNA. The record is from Rfam. NCBI's taxonomy places the organism in Eukaryota, Metazoa, Chordata, Mammalia, Rodentia, Sciuridae.
UGGGUUGUGGCACAGUGGUAGAGCGCUUGCCUAGCAUGCAGGAGGCACUGGGUUCAAUUCUCAGCACCACAU